GUACGGGAGGCAGCAGGUGGGGAAUAUUGCACAAUGGGCGCAAGCCUGAUGCAGCCAUGCCGCGUGUAUGAAGAAGGCCUUCGGGUUGUAAAGUACUUUCAGUCGUGAGGAAGGUGUUAAGGUUAAUAACCUUAGCAAUUGACGUUAGCGACAGAAGAAGCACCGGCUAACUCCGUGCCAGCAGCCGCGGUAAUACGGAGGGUGCGAGCGUUAAUCGGAAUUACUGGGCGUAAAGGGCACGCAGGCGGUUAAUUAAGUUGGAUGUGAAAUCCCCGGGCUUAACCUGGGAAUGGCAUUCAAGACUGGUUAGCUAGAGUCUUGUAGAGGGGGUAGGAAUUCCAUGUGUAGCGGUGAAAUGCGUAGAGAUGUGGAGGAAUACCGGUGGCGAAAGGCGGGCCCCCUGGACAAAAGGACUGACGCUCAUGUGCGAAAGCGUGGGGAGGCAAACAGGGAUUAGAUACC
Molecule: ribosomal RNA, 462 nt
Filed under: uncultured bacterium
Lineage: Bacteria
Description: bacterial SSU rRNA
Rfam family: Bacterial small subunit ribosomal RNA
Source: RNAcentral